This 274-nucleotide ribosomal RNA is filed under the name uncultured bacterium. Its description in RNAcentral is "partial 16S ribosomal RNA". It matches the Rfam family "Bacterial small subunit ribosomal RNA", at positions 523 to 796 of the family's 1533-position model. The record is from RNAcentral.
AUACGGAGGGUGCAAACGUUGUUCGGAAUUACUGGGCGUAAAGCGCGCGUAGGUGGUCUGUUAUGUCAGAUGUGAAAGUCCACGGCUCAACCGUGGAAGUGCAUUUGAAACUGGCAGACUUGAGUACUGGAGGGGGUAGUGGAAUUCCCGGUGUAGAGGUGAAAUUCGUAGAUAUCGGGAGGAAUACCGGUGGCGAAGGCGACUACCUGGCCAGAUACUGACACUGAGGUGCGAAAGCGUGGGGAGCGAACAGGAUUAGAAACCCCAGUAGUCC